AACCUAGCACACCUGCGGUGUGUACCUGCGGAGGGAUCAUUAUAGGAAAACCGUGAUUUCUACAAGUUGCGGGGGGUUGGGUUGGUGGGGGGUGCCGUACUCUGCACUUUUCCCUGUCUGGCUCCCUGCUUCUUCAAACAAAUUAUCGCAACUAGAGCAAUUGUUUUGGGUUGGGGGGGAUAUCACACACAGGAAAAGUGUUUGCCUGAUAUCUGAGCUUCUUAUGAGGGGAUAGAAAAA
This 240-nucleotide unclassified non-coding RNA is filed under the name soil metagenome. RNAcentral's name for it is "partial contains 5.8S ribosomal RNA, internal transcribed spacer 2, and large subunit ribosomal RNA". The record is from RNAcentral.